Falco tinnunculus (common kestrel) is the source of this 2081-nucleotide long non-coding RNA. The record is from Ensembl. Lineage: Eukaryota; Metazoa; Chordata; Aves; Falconiformes; Falconidae.
GGGAUCACUGUGCUUUCAGUAAAUCUGUGGACAUGGGAUGAAAUAUUUAAAAUUGCUUGGCAGUUAAAUAUUUGCUAGUGUGCCUCACUUUUGAGAAAUAGAAAACCUUUGUGAUUCAUACCUCUGUAUCAUGGCAAUCAAUGGGCACUGCUUUGCCAUUAAGUUCAGUGAAUGUAGGAUUGAGAACAGAUGAACUAAUCAGAGUACAAAAGUUUUUUGUGAUAGGGAAGAUGAGAAGAACUGAAUUUGUGAUUCCUACACCUAUAGCUGUGGAAAUGGGUCAGUGUCAUGUUGGCUAAUGAAAAAAUGGUGUUAAAUAUUAUCUCUUUGGUUCAAUUUUUUUUCCAAGUUAGUACAAUGCCAUUUUUAUGGUCAUAACUACCACUAUUUUUUUUAGUAAGGCCAGAAGAGCAUUGCAUAAGUAAAGACAAAAAAAUAACAAUUAUAGUAAUUACUGUAACUUAUGAAAGUUGACUAGUUCCUAUAGCAGAAUAAUAUUUUAAAAUGCGUAGGUUUUCCUAAAUUGCAUGAGAAUUACACGUGAGCUGCUGUAUUUUUAGUACUCAACAACAUGAAUGCAUAAAAAUGUUUUUGUUCAUUUGUUCCAAGAUGGUCUGUGAAUAAUGAUAGAUUCAUAAAAGCUAAUUAUAGUGAACUCCCAAAGCAACUGGUUGGUUGAUUUAGCAACUGAAAAAUCAACACAACCUGUCUAUAAAUGAUUCUGACAAAGUGAAUACAAAUAUUAAGUAUAAAUAAAUACUUUUUCUUUUAUUCAAACAGGUUUUAAAGCCCAUUUAAUCUUCUCAGCACCUCCCCAGACAUGGACAAACCAAAUAAUGUGCUGCCAUGGGAAAAAGUGCUAUGACAAAGGAUAUUUGAACACUGAGCAUUGUAAAUGCAUAUGCCAAUCUGGGUAUCAUGGGAAUUUCUGUGAAAUGAAGAGAGCAAUAAAGACAGCUUCAGGCCUUACUGAGCCCAUUAUUUCCCUGAAUUUCUGUAUGUGAAGGGGAAUCUGAAAACACAUUCAUGCACCUGCAACAUGAUUCAGCCUUACUUUGGUAUUGCUCUUCUAUCAUUUGCAAGAGGAAGAGACUCACUUCUAAGUUACUUUAGCUCUUAUUCACCAAAGAUUUUGUAUGUCAAGGAGAAUAGUAAAUCCUUUUAUGACUCCAGCUACCAGAGAGAGUAAGCCCCUAACGUUACCAAAGCAUAAAAGGUUUUACCAUAAACUAAAUUAAAUCAUCUAAACUGAGCUUAUCAAUAGAUAUGAAGGAACAGGCAGAAGAGAGAAAUCAAUUUAGCAUCUUAGUAGAUCAGGGGACUCACUACUGUCUUGCAGUGCUUUUUGAGUACAUAGAUAAUAAACACUAGCAUCACCACAGUUUAAAUCAAUCCAAAUACAGUUAUUAAAUGAUAAAGUCACUGGGGAGGUAGGAGGCUAUUUCAACACCACACCACACCUUUUACUGUGGAGUCACAAGUGAAUAAAUUUGUAGGAACUCAUUGUACUUGUGUAACCUGCAGAACCUCUGCGCAAUGUAGCGGGACUGGGAAGGUGCUCGGAGGAUCCCAGGAACCACCAGAGCUGGGGGACAUGCUGCAGGCAAUACAGCGGGUGUGUGUAUCGGCAGGUGCUAGACAGGAGCUGGCAUAAAACAGCACUAUGAGGUUAUAAUUUUAAAACUGAAUCACACUGAAAAUCAUUAAAGGCAAAAAGAAGAAAGAAAUAAAACAGUGCUGGUCUUGGCCUGGCUGUUUCUCUUUCAGGUGUCCAGAAUGACUUGCUGUCCAGUGGAGCUGGCUGAUAAAAUGCAGCUUAACGGUUUUGAUAAGGAACUCUGAUAAGCUUCCCCAAAUUAUUUCUGUAAGGAUUAGAAAUUAAGACAAUUCUAAUCCUCUUCUGUAAUUACGCUGCAUGUUUCAAAACUCUGAUCUCAAUAACACUGUUAAAUAAAAACCAGACCUCGUUUACUUAACGGAGCAGGUUAUGUAGACCUUCAGAUUCGUUAAGAGAGCUAAGUUACAAGUAUAAAAAAAUUAGGAUGCAAUUAAUGCUGCCUUGAUAGUAGUUACAAAGACAA